RNAcentral lists this ribosomal RNA (254 nucleotides) under uncultured bacterium. RNAcentral describes it as "partial 16S ribosomal RNA". It matches the Rfam family "Bacterial small subunit ribosomal RNA", at positions 524 to 776 of the family's 1533-position model. The record is from RNAcentral.
UACGGAGGGUGCAAGCGUUGUUCGGAAUUACUGGGCGUAAAGCGCACGUAGGCGGAUUUGUAAGUCAGAUGUGAAAUCCCCGGGCUUAACCUGGGAACUGCAUUGGUGACUGCAGCGCUGGAGUAUGGCAGAGGGGGGUGGAAUUCCACGUGUAGCAGUGAAAUGCGUAGAGAUGUGGAGGAACACCGAUGGCGAAGGCAGCCCCCCUGGGCCAAUACUGACGCUCAUGCACGAAAGCGUGGGGAGCAAACAGG